GGGGGGAAGGCGGCGGCGGAGCCCCGGGGGAGCGGUGCCCGGUCGGGCCGCGGGAGGGGACAGCCUGGGCCGGGACCGACGGGAGGCCGAGGGCUCUACUCUUAGGGCCCUUCCUUGACGGGAGGAAGCCGAGCCACUUCCGUCUCACGGAGUUUGAGCUCAACAACGGGGUGAAGAUUGUUUAACAGGUGCGCCCUGUGUGCCGGACCCCCGGGGUCGGGAUGGGGAGGGAUACAGAAGACCCAGGGGCGCCCCUGCCCCUGCGGUUUGUUUAGGUUAAUUUAAUGCACUCGUCUGUGACUGUUUUUAAUGGUCAGAAACCUGGGAUCUGAGUUUUUAGGUACAGAGGGAGGGGCGUGGCUCAUUUUGGAGUGCGGGUAAUUAGAAGAAUGAACUGAUGGAGGGCCGUAGGGUUCCUGGUCUUUGCGGAUAGGAGGAAAGGGACAGUGUUCGGAUUAUCAGGACAUCCAGCUACCCACGUUCCUAGAAAAGUUUAUGCAGCACAGCUUAUUGGAUGCCUACAAUGUGCCAGGCUAGAAUCUAAGAAUAGCAAGAUGAAGACACAAUUAUGUCCGCUGGUAACUCACAAUACAGCGAUUUGCGUGCCAUCCCGGGCAGGCCACUUUUUGCUGUAUGAGGCAAAAUUAAGACAGGAUAGUCUGUGAUGUAACGUCAUUUAUCUGCACAGGUAUGCCAGAUACACAAAGUAUACCAUUAUUUGUCUGCAGGCGUACCAGACAUAUCUGUGUGAAUCACUGAAACUCAGACCCAUGAGCAAGAUUGGUUCAUUUAUUCCUUCACAUUUGUUGAGCACAAACUGUGUGCUGGGCCCAUGUAAUUAGGAAGUGGGGUUACAGCAGUCCCCCUGCCCUUCUAAUGGAAGUUCAUUUAAAUUAAAAAAUGAACAAGGAAUAAUGACAAGUAUGCAGAAUAUUGUGAAACAGAAGUGCAGGGAAACGCUGAUGUGUGAAUCUUUGAAAGCUUCGUGGAUGAAGCGGGUCUAACCCAAAAUCUGAUAAGGUCUUUCAGGUGUAAUCGAGAAGGUCACACUGGAUGAGGACAGCCAAUGAGGUGUCCAUAUAUGGAGAGAGAGAGACACACAGGGGGAAGAAGGCCAAAUGACAACAGAGGCAGAGAGUGCAGGGAUGUAGCUAGACAGCGGAGAAUGCCAGGAAUUGCCGGUAACUACCAGAAGCUGCGAGAGGCAUAGAUGAGAACAUUCCUCAGAGGCCCCAAAAGAAACCAACUCUGCUGACGCCUUGAUUUUGGACUUCCGGUCCCCAGAACUGUGAGAAAAUAAAUUUCUGUCGUGUUAAGCUGUCCAGUUUGCGGCACUUUGUUAUGGUAGUCCUGGAGAGUAAUACCGAUCAGGAGAUAUUUCGAAAGUAGAAAAAGCAGGAUUUACUGUUUGGAUGUUGGGAAUGAGGGAGGGAAGAAAAAGUCAGAGUCAAAGAUCUCCUGGUUUUCUGGCUUAAGCACCUGAGUGAAACAUAGUACCUUUACCAAGGUGUAGAGAGUACUGGAAGAAAAAUGAGGGCAGCAGUGGUGGGUAAGAAGGUGAAAAGAUAGUGAAAUAAGUUUUGGACAUGGUGAGUUUGAGAUUUCUGUGAGAUAGGCAAGUGCAGAUGUGGAAUAGUCUGUUGGAGUUAAGUCUAUAGAACAGAACCAAGAGUCACAGGAGAGCUUGCAUUUGAGUUUAUCGAGCACAGGUGAUGAAUGAAGCCACCACGUAAAGAGAGAAAAUCUCUCAGGGGAAGAAUAGAUGACAAAGAGAAUUGGUGACCAGGACAGUCCCAGAAUCUCUUUGAGUAUUUAAUGUUUACGUAGAGAUGGGAGAACUGACAGGAGAAGUUGCUGAGUGAGCAAAACAAGAGAAGAGGGAACACGUAGCAGUGGGUUUCACAGAAGCCAAGGGGUGUUAGAAGGAGAGGUAGUACGCCAGUGGAACGUUCUGAGGAGUAAGAUAAGAAUGGAGAAGGGUCCUAAGCAUUCAGAGUAAUAGCAGUCAUUGGUGAUUCUGCACAGGUGGCCGUAACUGUGGAUAAAAUCCAAAUUGGAAUGUGUUGAGAAAUGAGUGGAAAGUGAUAAAAUGGAGAUCACCAUAGCAAACACGAUAAUAAUAAAAAAGACGGAGAUCUGCGAGAAUUACCAAAAUGUGACACCUCUAGAGACACAAAGUGAGCUGUUGGAAAAAUGGCACCAUUAGACUUGCUUGACAGAGGAUUGCCACAAACCUCUAAUUUGUAAAAAACACAGUAUCGGGGAAGUGAAAUAAAGGGAAGCAAUGAAGCAAGGUGUGCCUGUCUAACGUUGCAAAGUUGAAAGUGUACAAGGAUCGUUGGCUACACGGAUAUACUGCGGAACGCUUAUUACCGCAGUUAGUGUUCUUCACCUCACAUAAUUGUAAUUUUGUUGUUGUGGUUGUGGGGGCGAGAACAUUUAAAAUUUUCUCUCAAGGCCACUCUCAGGUAUACAGUACAGUAUCGUUAACCAUGGUCACCACGCGGUACGUUAGAUCCCUGGAACUCACUCGUCGUAUCACUGAGUUCGUACCUUUGGACCAGGAACUUCCCAUUUGCCUCACUGCUCAACCCCUGGCAACCACCAUAUUACUCUGUUGCUGUGAAUUUGAUGUUUGUAGAUCCCACAUGUAAGUGAGAUAAUACAAUAUUUGUCUUUGACUUAAUUUCACUUGCUGUAAUACUGUCAGGAUAUACUCACGUUGUCACAAAUGACAGCUUUCUCUUUUUUGUGGCUGAAUAAUACUCCAUUUUAUAUAUACACCACAUUUCCUUUUUCCGCUCAUCUAUCAGUGGGCACCUAGGUUGUUUCUUGGCUAUUGUGAAUAAUGCAGUGAACAUGGGCGUGCAGAUAUCUCAAGAUAGUGAUUUCAUCUCUUGGAUAAAUUCUCAGAAGUGAGAUUGCUGGAUCAUGUAGUAGUUCUGUUUUUAAUUUUUUUGAGGAACCUCUACACUAUUCUUCAUCGUGACUGUACCCAUUUAUAUUUCCCUCAACCAAGCGCAAGGGUUCCCUUUUUCCACAUCCUUGCCAGCAUUUAUUAUCUCUUGUCUCUCCCCCCCUCCCCCUGCAUCUACAGUUUGGAUGUUUUUUGUUUGUUUUUGUUUUUUAUUUUGAGAGAGCGAGCACGUGAGCGUGAGCAGGGGAGGGGCAGAGAGAGGGAGAGACAGAAUCCCAAGCAGGCUGUGCGUGGUUAGCACAGAGCCUGAUGGGGGGCCCGAACCCACGAACCAUGAAAUCAUGACCUGAGCUGAGAUCCAGAGUCAGACACUUAACCAUCUGAGCUACCCAAGUGUCUCUAUCUCUUGUUUUUUGUUUUUUGGGGUUUUUUUGAUAAUGGCCAUUCUAACAGGUGUGAAAUGAUUUCACAUUGUGGUUUUGAUUUGUAUUUCUCUGAUGAUAAGUGAUAUUGAACACCUUUUCAUAUACUUGUUGGCCAUUUUUGUGUCUUUAAAAAAAUGUCUAUUCAAAUCUUCUACCCAUUUUUUUAAAAUUUUAUUUUGCAAGAGAGCUUGGGAUUCUCUCUCUCCCUCUUUUUCUGCCCCUCCCCUGCUCGCUCUCUAUUCCUCUCUCUCUCUCUCUCUCUCUGUCUCACUUUCUCUCAAAAUAAAUAAACUUUUAAAAAGAUGAAUAUAUUAACACUUAGUAUUAAUACUUAAUAUUAUUGAUGUACAGAUUUAAUGCAAUGUCUAUCAAAAUUCCAGUUGGCUUUUUACAGAAACUGACACGUUGCUUCUAAAGGAAAUGGACCCAGUAUUGCCAAAAUGAUCUUGAAAGAGAAUACAAUGCCCAGACCUUACUCCAGACCUGCAUUAAUAUUUUCCAGAAGUGAAGUUCACCAGUGUCUUUUCCAAAAUUUCUGCAGGUGACUUAGCUUUUUGCCCCUAAAUGAAAAUCACUGCUACAAAACCGUUGGAAUGCCCCGGAAAUGUUAAUACUUUGCCUCCUAGAACUUUGUCUUCAUUUCCUCUUCUCUCCAGAAGUAGCACAGAUAUUUUAUCUGAACAUGUGUUUUGAAUAUGGUCCCAGAGCUAAGGAAAAACCUACAUUGUCAUACCUUAAAGUGGAUAAGCUGUUUUAAAACAUUUAAGGGACGCCUGGCUGGCUAAGUCAGUAGAGCAUACAGCUCUUGAUCUCAGGGUUGUGAGUUCAAGCCCCACAUUGGGCAUGGAGCCUACUUAAAAAUAACAACAACAACACCUUUAUUUAGGGGUGCCUGGCUGGCUCAGUCGGAGGACGGUAGGACUCGGUUGUGAGUUUGACCCUCAUGUGAUUAACUACUACAAAAAAAAAAAUAAAUAAUAAUAAUAAUAAUAAUAAACAAAAUAUCUAGCCGAACUAUGGAAAGAGCCCAAAUGUCCAUCAGCUAGUGAAUGGAUAAAGAAGAUGUGAUAUAUAUGCACAAUGGAAUAUUACUUGGCCAUCAAAAAGAAUGAAAUCUUGUCAUUUGCAAUGAUGUGGAUGGAUUUAGAGUAAUUGUGCUAAACAAAAUAAGUCAGAGAAAGACAAAUGCCAUAUGAUUUCACUCAUAUGUGGAAGUUAAGAAACAAAACAGGGAAACAUAUGGGAAAGAGGAAGAAACAAGCCAUAAGAGACUCUGAAUGAUAGAGAACAAACUAAGGGUUGAUGGAGGGAGGUGGGUGGGAGAUGGGUUAAAUGGGUGAUGGGUAUAAGGGGGGCACUUGUGAUGAGCACUGGGUAUUGUCUGUAAGUGAUGAAGCACUUGAAUACUCCUGAAACCGAUACUGUAUUGUAUGUUAACUAACUGGAAUUUGAAUAAAAAUUUGACAAGAUUUUAAAAAGUUAAAUAGUAAAAAAAAAAAAACUAAAUAUGUUUUAAAAUAGAAUUUUAAAAUAUUUUAAGCAUUUGUUAAAUAUUGUUUAUGUAGGCUCUUAACUCUUGCCUAGAUUUUUAUAGUAACCUCCUCAGUGGUCCCCUCCCUCCAAUUUUGUUUCUCUUUGUUCUACCCUCCAUGAGAAGCUGAACAUGUUCCUCUGUGGUUUGAAAUUCUUGAAGUUUCUAACAUCCAUAGCCUUUAAUAUAAAAGUCAGACUUCCUCGUGUGACUUACAAACUCACAUCACAUUAUGAUGUGUCCCUUCCUCCCUUUCCUUCCCUUCUUUGACCCUUCUGCAGUGUUUACCCCAUGUGCCGUUCUUACCAUGGUUCUCUCUCUUCUCUACGCAUACUUCUCCGCCUUCAGUGACUUUGACUUAGGUCAUGAUGACCUUUAAGGCAUAUCUUUGCCAUUUGCCUCUCCCAGAAACCAUCACUGACCUAUUCCAUGGGCCGUAGCACCACUGCAGUUUCAUUCCGUCUUUUCCAGUAGGCUGAUGACAGGGAUUCUCUCAUUUUUACAAUUCCAUCAGUCAGUGAGUAUUUUCUAAGUAACUGAAUAAUGUUACCAUUAUCGUAUUCUUGCAAUUCCUGAUUUGAGAGCUGUAUGUUUAAUCAAAUAGUUGAACCAGUACUUUGAUUGCAGUGCAGAGAAUGUGUUGUAUCCUCUAGUGUUUCACAAUGACACAGAUUCCCUUUUUGUACAAGGAAAAAAAAAAAAGACAUAGUGAAUUUUAAUACCCGUCCAAAUUAUUCUUACUAGUUUUUGCUUAUGGUGCCCAGUAUGUAUCCCUUUGACGAGGAUCAUGUCCAGUAGUAGUUAUGAGUGCUACAAAAGAAGCAUUUCGUACAUGAAACAUUAUGAGUCCACUCUGGCUGCCAUAACAGAAUAUCAUAGCCUGGGUGGCUUAAACAACAGAAAUUUAUUUUCACACAGUUCUAGAGGCUGGAAGUCUGAGAUAAGGGUGCCAACAUGGUUGAGUUCUGGUGGGGGUAUUCUGGCUUGCAGAUGGCCGCCUUCUCACUGCGUCCUCACAUGGCUAGGUGGAAGUGAGGAGGGGAAUCGAGAUCUCUUUCUUCCUCUUUUUUGUUAGGCCAGAGUCCUAUCAAAUUAAUGCCUUGCCCUUAUGACCCAUGUAACCAUACGUAGCUCCUUAAGACCCCAUCUCCACGUAAGCUUCAACACAGGAAUGUGGGGAGAACACAAUUCAGUCCAUCGCAAGUAAUUAAAAUAUUAUUACAAGGUAUUUUGGUUCAGGGUUUAAGUGACUGCUCCAAAGCCAAUGUAAUAUUAGAGUUUAGAGUAGUGAGAUCUGUAACUAUAUGUCUGUAAAUAUAUACUCCUGAAAAGCAUUUGUUGAAUUUCAUCACAGAUUAAGCAGAAAUUAUUACAUUGGGCUGAGAAUUACGUGGACCCACGAGAGAUUAGUCCAAGUGUACCAGAUCGUUUACUUCAAUAUUGAUCUUGUUGAUCAAAGUAAUUUUUUCUUUUUUUUAAUGUUUGUUUAGAGAGAGCGCUAGAGUUCUCUCUCUCUCUCUCUCUCUCUCUCUCUCUCUCGCAUGCGCGUGCACAGGGGAGGGGCAGAGAGAGAGAGGGAGUGAGAGAAUCCCAACAGGCUCCGCGCUGUCAGCACAGAGCCUGAUGCAGGGCUUGAUCCCAUCAACCAUGAGAUAGAUCAUGACCUGAGCCGAAAUCGAGUUGUAUGCUCAACCCAGUGAGCCACCCAGGCGCCCCUUAAUCAAGGUAGUUUUUUAAAACGUAUGUUAGAGUUCUUUGUGUAGUUUAUUAGGUACUUUCACAUCUGUGAUUGGCAUUUGAUUCACAUACAAACUUGGUGACAUUGACAAAGUGAAGCACACUUACCUCUUUUGCAGAUAUGGAAACUGAUCUUAGAGAGGCUGAGAUUUGCCCAGGGUCAGCCAGCCCUCAGAACAGUAGCUAAUGCUUUUUCUUCAGAAUGUAUUUAGCUGAAGGUUUUUGGCUCAAUCUGGAUGGAUUGCUAUUUUGUGUAUGACUUUUUGAAGUCUGGGCAGCAGAAGAACAUGUUUGGUGUUUGCUAAUAACUAACUUUUAUAUUUAAUUCUAUUCCUAAAAUUAUGGCAGCUGGCCAGUGCUGGCAGGUCUUAUCAUUUAUUCUUUUCUAGGCCCUCUAGCUAUGAAAGUGUCAAGAGAGCUGCAGAAUUAAAUCUUUCUCCUUUAAAAAAAAAAAAAGGACAAAACUCUUUAAAGCUUUUGGCCAGUUUCCUUAGGAAAACAACCGAGACUCCCUAAGUAGCA
Molecule: long non-coding RNA, 7132 nt
Organism: Neofelis nebulosa (Clouded leopard)
Lineage: Eukaryota; Metazoa; Chordata; Mammalia; Carnivora; Felidae
Exons: 2
Source: RefSeq, a predicted model, not a curated record